UACGUAGGGUGCAAGCGUUAAUCGGAAUUACUGGGCGUAAAGCGUGCGCAGGCGGCUUUGCAAGACAGAUGUGAAAUCCCCGGGCUUAACCUGGGAACUGCAUUUGUGACUGCAUGGCUGGAGUGCGGCAGAGGGGGAUGGAAUUCCGCGUGUAGCAGUGAAAUGCGUAGAUAUGCGGAGGAACACCGAUGGCGAAGGCAAUCCCCUGGGCCUGCACUGACGCUCAUGCACGAAAGCGUGGGGAGCAAACAGGAUUAGAAACCCCAGUAGUCC
This 273-nucleotide ribosomal RNA is filed under the name uncultured bacterium. RNAcentral describes it as "partial 16S ribosomal RNA". It matches the Rfam family "Bacterial small subunit ribosomal RNA", at positions 524 to 796 of the family's 1533-position model. The record is from RNAcentral.